GGGCAAGGGGGCUCAUGAAGUGUUGUCUCAGGAGCUGUCCAACCAUCUCUGCACAAUGCUGAGGAGAGAGGAGUUUUUAGUCAGUAUUGAUCCAGCGGAAAAAGUAUUUCACUGUGGAGCAAGUGAGAUAAAAAGCAUUAGAAGAAAACAUGUGAGUCAUAGAAAAUGACAUUUGGACAUACAAAUGAGUAGUGUGGGCAUAUUAACUGAGGACAUGUGAAAUGAGUUUUGAAAUGACAGCAACAACAAGAAAAGAAAGAUGAAAUGAGAGGGAUGCAGUGAAAAGAGGGAACUGAACAACAAUGAUUAUGCUUGCUUUGGAAUGGGCUGCUGGCUAGUGGGAAAAGUGAUGGUUACAGCUGGAUAAAUUUCUCAGUUUUUGAUGGAUUUUGCAGCUGGGAUGAUGACAUAGACCACUUGUCAACAGGAGUCUUUUCCUUGAUUUAUAACCUGGUCACCCAUCCAUUUCCAAACAUCACUUCCUCUAUACUAUACACUUCUGAAAUUGUGCCCCUCAAAACUGGAGAAGUCAUUGGAAUAAUAAAGAAAAAUGCAGAGUUCUUUCAAGAACUAAUAGUUUUGUUAUCUUGUGUGAGUCAGCUUGUGUGGGAGUCGAAGAGCUUUGUAGCACAUUUGUUAACUCUAUGCAGCUAUUGAGGUUCAGGGUUUAAAUGAAUGCCUGUGAAAGUUGUCUCAUCCAACCAUAUCAAUUUAUUUUAAGUUUUUGGAACAAAUAUAUUCUUACAAUCUCUUUGGUAUUGGGCUAAAUUCCUUAGUGUAAAAUGAAUUGCUUAUCAGAUUUUGCACAUUAUGAAAGCUGUACCCAAAAUGUUGCCAGGCUUGAGUCUUAUUAAUUGGUGGAAUUUAAAGUUGAAUGCAGAUGGUAAGCCUAUUAAUAAGUGAUGGGUGGGGAAGUACACUCUGGUGCUUAGAAAAAUAUUAUAUGUCAAGUGUACUGUAUAGAUUAAGAUAAAACUGAUUUUUGUCCCUAAGGAAUUUCUAUAUAUACAUGCAAAUUAGACUUAAUAUAUGUACGUCAAAGAAAAGAACAACUGCGGCAGGAUGAAAUUGCUCACUUUUAGUGAAAAAUAGAAAUAGUCUCAUUAAGAGAGAAUAUUAAACAAAAGAGAGAGUGUAACCAUCCUAAGCCAUCCAUGACCGAGGAAAUAUAUUUUAAUUAAAUACGGCAUCUCUCUACCUAGUCUAACACACUGAGAAGAUGCAGACCUGCAAUAUCCAGAUGUGUAUUCCAGAGCCUGAUGUGGCUGCCUGUGUGCUUUGCAAUGGGUUUGCAAGCCGUGGCAAAGACAAUGAACAUUUUAUGAGGAUACCACAAAUUCUCACGGAAAGUAAAAAGCUGCUGUAUCACAGAGGUGAUGUCCCACACUGAAUUCUGAACAUCUCAUUGAGAUCUGUAUUACAAAGAAAGAAAGACAAGCUCAGAUCCUUUCCUUUCCAGUUGAUGGGGAUGUAUGAUUGUGGACAUCUUGCAGGACAGCCCUGUACAAGUAUUUAAACAAAAGGCUCGGUCACUCUGUUCUAAACUUUGCAUUUCAGCAAGCUUGCUUUGCAAAUGUGCAGACCCCCAGGCUCCCAGCAUCCACUGCACAUCUGCAAGGAAGGAGUACUUUGCAGAUAACCUAGGAUAGGAUCAGACCCACACUGGUUGCUCAGAGUACUGGGGACAUUUAUGAUAGAGACAAAAGCAACAGCUUUACUUCUAGCUGUUUGAAAGGAAGCCUUUCCUGCAGAAGUGAAUCUGAGAGAUGAAAUGGAUGAAGCCAAAUUAGUCAAAUAGAAUUUUUAUAAAAAUGAUUCUAAAACCCACAAAAUGUAAUAAGCAGUAAUAUUACCAGUGAAAAAUUCUGUAAGUUUGGCUAAAAUAACCAGGCCACAGUCUGUUCACUGGCACCAUAGUUAUUCUACUAAGAACAGCCCGCGUAUGAAAAUAAACACUAUGUAAUACAUUAUGAAUAAUAAACAGUUAUAUACU
Molecule: long non-coding RNA, 1993 nt
Organism: Gallus gallus (chicken)
Lineage: Eukaryota; Metazoa; Chordata; Aves; Galliformes; Phasianidae
Source: Ensembl